Molecule: transfer RNA, 66 nt
Filed under: Parnips nigripes
Lineage: Eukaryota; Metazoa; Arthropoda; Insecta; Hymenoptera; Figitidae
Description: tRNA-Val
Source: RNAcentral
UAAUUUUUAAUUUAAUUAAAAUAUUUCAUUUACAAUGAAAAAAUAAUAAAUAAAUAUUAAAAUUAA